Molecule: ribosomal RNA, 253 nt
Filed under: uncultured bacterium
Lineage: Bacteria
Description: partial 16S ribosomal RNA
Rfam family: Bacterial small subunit ribosomal RNA
Source: RNAcentral
UACAGAGGUUCCAAGCGUUGUUCGGAUUCACUGGGCGUAAAGGGUGCGUAGGCGGUCGGGUAAGUCUGAUGUGAAAUCUCACAGCUUAACUGUGAAACUGCAUUGGAUACUAUCCGGCUCGAGGAAUGGAGGGGAGACUGGAAUACUUGGUGUAGCAGUGAAAUGCGUAGAUAUCAAGUGGAACACCAGUGGCGAAGGCGAGUCUCUGGACAUUUCCUGACGCUGAGGCACGAAAGCCAGGGGAGCAAACGGG